GGAAGCCUGUGUGCCUGAAGGUGCCGCGCAGGUGGCCCUAGCGCGCAGCUGCCUGCCGUCGGCAGCCCAGGCGUGCCCGCGCUGCCGGAGCAGGCCGCSGUGAGGGGGGAGCGCCUCGAACCCCUUCCCCACGUCCCUUCGCCAGGGCUCGGGAUUUACGGUGUUCGAGAUGGGCCUGGGAAGAGACGUUGCUACAGAGAGGAGAGAUAGUGUUUGGUUUCAGACACGGGCAGAUCUGACUUAAUUUCCCAAUCCUGCGUUGUAUUUCCUGUGUGAUCUUUUGGGUUCUUCACCAGCUCACUGACUCUGUGUUCCCUGCUUUUGUCCGUAGAAAUCUUUCACGGAGGGGCUGGGAGCUCUGCCUGUCAGUACGUAACAAGAUGUCCAUGUUGCAAAGGUGAGGCCAUGGGAGAUGCAGCGUGUACUGAAAACGCAACCAGACCCUGCUCCUCCUUCAGAUCGUCCUUAGAAAUCCCGUGGAACCAAGGCACGCCAGCAAGGCCUCCUUUGUCAGGAUCCGAGCUGCUACAGGACACCAACUGAACUAAUCCAAAGAGAAACCCCUGCAGUGGUUUUACGAUGAACUGAGCUUUUCACUCAUCGAGACUCUUCCCCUCUUCGGCAGCAUUUGUUAUGGUGAGUUUUGUGGGAAGGAURCUUGUCUC
Molecule: long non-coding RNA, 665 nt
Organism: Dromaius novaehollandiae (emu)
Lineage: Eukaryota; Metazoa; Chordata; Aves; Casuariiformes; Dromaiidae
Source: Ensembl